Molecule: ribosomal RNA, 519 nt
Filed under: uncultured bacterium
Lineage: Bacteria
Description: bacterial SSU rRNA
Rfam family: Bacterial small subunit ribosomal RNA
Source: RNAcentral
CUCUUCUUGAAAGCUCUUGCAUUUGGAUGAGCCUGCGUCGGAUUAGCUAGUUGGUGAGGUAAGAGCUCACCAAGGCGACGAUCCGUAGCUGGUCUGAGAGGAUGAUCAGCCACACUGGGACUGAGACACGGACCAGACUCCUACGGGAGGCAGCAGUGAGGAAUAUUGGACAAUGGGCGAGAGUGAUCCAGCCAUGCCGCGUGCAGGAAGACUGCCCUAUGGUUGUAAACUGCUUUUAUAUGGGAAGAAACACUCUCACGUGUGAGAGCUUGACGGUACCAUAAGAAUAAGGACCGGCUAACUCCGUGCCAGCAGCCGCGGUAAUACGGAGGGUCCGAGCGUUAUCCGGAAUCAUUGGGUUUAAAGGGUCCGUAGCGGGCAGCUAAGUCAGUGGUGAAAGUCUGUGGCUCAACCAUAGAAUUGCCAUUGAUACUGGUUGUCUUGAAUUAUUGUGAAGUGGUUAGAAUAAGUAGUGUAGCGGUGAAAUGCAUAGAUAUUACAUAGAACACCGAUCGCGAA